GGCCUCUGCGGACGCGACCCACGCAGACCACAGCCGAGCCCGCCGGACCCCGGGACUACGGAAGCCAUCCCGUCCGGCCACCCACACCCGCGCCGCGGCUGGGGCUUGGGUUGGGGACUGUGGCGGCGAAGAAGCCGGGGCAUACAACUUAGGAUUCAUAACUACAUAUAUACGGAUAGAAGUGCAUGAACAGAAAAUCUGCCCUUCUGGAAUACCAAAUGCAAAAUUAAAGUGACUACAAGCAGAAUUUGGAGAAAAAAAUAAAAGAUGCAAUAUAGUUUUUAAAAUCAUUGUUAAAAUAUAAUGAGUCUGUACUUUGCUUAAACAAUAAAAAAGUCUU
Molecule: long non-coding RNA, 340 nt
Filed under: Homo sapiens (human)
Lineage: Eukaryota; Metazoa; Chordata; Mammalia; Primates; Hominidae
Description: non-protein coding lnc-TIMM21-5:14
Source: RNAcentral